RNAcentral lists this ribosomal RNA (83 nucleotides) under Petromyzon marinus (sea lamprey). The record is from RNAcentral. Lineage: Eukaryota; Metazoa; Chordata; Hyperoartia; Petromyzontiformes; Petromyzontidae.
CCUAGGAUCACAUCACCGAGAAUGCGCCUGGACUCGUUAGAUCUCUGAAGCUAAGCAGCGUUGAGCCUGGGUUGUUGCUUGGA